Molecule: ribosomal RNA, 489 nt
Filed under: uncultured soil bacterium
Lineage: Bacteria
Description: bacterial SSU rRNA
Rfam family: Bacterial small subunit ribosomal RNA
Source: RNAcentral
AGAUUGAACGCUGGCGGCAUGCUUUACACAUGCAAGUCGAACGGUAACGCGGGGGCAACCCUGGCGACGAGUGGCGAACGGGUGAGUAAUACAUCGGAACGUGCCCAGUAGUGGGGGAUAGCUCGGCGAAAGCCGGAUUAAUACCGCAUACGACCUACGGGUGAAAGCGGGGGAUCGCAAGACCUCGCGCUAUUGGAGCGGCCGAUGGCGGAUUAGCUUGUUGGUGGGGUAAAAGCCUACCAAGGCGACGAUCUGUAGCUGGUCUGAGAGGACGACCAGCCACACUGGGACUGAGACACGGCCCAGACUCCUACGGGAGGCAGCAGUGGGGAAUUUGGACAAUGGGCGCAAGCCUGAUCCAGCAAUGCCGCGUGUGUGAUGAAGGCCUUCGGGUUGUAAGCUACUUUUAGUGGAACGAACGGUCCGGCCGAAUACCCUGACUAAUGACGUACCGCAGAAUAAGCACCGCUAACUACGUGCCAGAGCCGC